This 872-nucleotide ribosomal RNA is filed under the name uncultured candidate division WS6 bacterium. Its description in RNAcentral is "bacterial SSU rRNA". It matches the Rfam family "Bacterial small subunit ribosomal RNA", at positions 50 to 885 of the family's 1533-position model. The record is from RNAcentral.
AAGGUAUGCAAGUCGAACGAUCCCUUUCUGAUUUCUAGUAACUUCGGUUGCUAGUUUUCUAUCUGGGAUAGUGGCAAACGGGUGAGUAACACGUAGAUAACUUGCCUCGAAGUCGGGAAUAGCUCGUCGAAAGACGGGGUAAUAUCCGAUGGUCUCUAACCACUUCGUGUGUUUUAGAGUAAAGCUUUUGUGCUUCGAGAGAGGUCUGCGUCCUAUCAGCUAGUUGGUAAGGUAAUGGCUUACCAAGGCUAAGACGGGUAGCUGGUGUGAGAGCACGGUCAGCCACCAUGGAACUGAGACACGGUCCAUACUCCUACGGGAGGCAGCAAUUAGGAAUCUUGCGCAAUGGGGGCAACCCUGACGCAGCGACACAGCGUGGAGGAUGAAGGUCUUCGGAUUGUAAACUCCUUUUAUAUGGGAAGAAUAGAUGACUGUACCAUAUGAAUAAGGACCUGCUAACUACGUGCCAGAAGCAUCGGUGAUGCGUAGGGUCCGAACGUUAUCCGGAUUUAUUGGGUGUAUAGAGAUGCGUAGGCGGUUUGAUAAGUCUUGAGUUAAAGACCUCGGCUCAACCGAGGAAAAGCUUUCGAUACUAUCAGACUUGAGGCAUAGAGGGGUGAACGGAAUUCCGAGUGGAGUGGUGAAAUACGUUGAUAUUCGGAGGAACAUCAGUGGCGAAGGCGGUUCACUGGCUAUUGCCUGACGCUCAGGCUCGAAAGCGUGGGUAGCAAAACGGAUUAGAUACCCGUGUAGUCCACGCUGUAAACUAUGGAUGCUAGGUGUUCGGUACAACUGUUUUUAAUCUUCGGAUUUUAAACGGGAGUGCUGAGUGCCGCAGCUAACGCGUUAAGCAUCCCACCUGGGAAGUACGG